This 331-nucleotide ribosomal RNA is filed under the name uncultured bacterium. Its description in RNAcentral is "bacterial SSU rRNA". It matches the Rfam family "Bacterial small subunit ribosomal RNA", at positions 568 to 898 of the family's 1533-position model. The record is from RNAcentral.
CGUGUAGGCGGCCUUUUAAGUCAGGCGUGAAAUCCAUGGGCUUAACCCAUGAAUUGCGUUUGAAACUGGAGGGCUUGAGGAUCGGAGAGGGCAGUGGAAUUCCCAGUGUAGCGGUGAAAUGCGUAGAUAUUGGGAGGAACACCAGUGGCGAAGGCGACUGCCUGGACGACACCUGACGCUGAGGCGCGAAAGCUAGGGGAGCAAACGGGAUUAGAUACCCCGGUAGUCCUAGCCGUAAACGAUGGGUACUAGGUGUGGGAGGUAUCGACCCCUUCCGUGCCGCAGUUAACACAAUAAGUACCCGCCUGGGGAGUACGGCCGCAAGGUUGAA